AUUGAACGCUGGCGGAAUGCUCUACACAUGCAAGUCGAACGGCAGCACGGACUUCGGUCUGGUGGCGAGUGGCGAACGGGUGAGUAAUACAUCGGAACGUGCCCAGUCGUGGGGGAUAACGUAGCGAAAGCUACGCUAAUACCGCAUACGAUCUAAGAAUGAAAGCGGGGGAUCGCAAGACCUCGCGCGAUUGGAGCGGCCGAUGGCAGAUUAGGUAGUUGGUAGGGUAAAGGCCUACCAAGCCGACGAUCUGUAGCUGGUCUGAGAGGAUGAGCAGCCACACUGGGACUGAGACACGGCCCAGACUCCUACGGGAGGCAGCAGUGGGGAAUUUUGGACAAUGGGCGCAAGCCUGAUCCAGCCAUUCCGCGUGCAGGAUGAAGGCCUUCGGAUUGUAAACUGCUUUUGUACAGAACGAAAAGGCUCUGGUUAAUACCCGGGGCUCAUGACGGUACUGUAAGAAUAAGCACCGGCUAACUACGUGCCAGCCGCCGCCGUAA
Molecule: ribosomal RNA, 500 nt
Filed under: uncultured bacterium
Lineage: Bacteria
Description: partial 16S ribosomal RNA
Rfam family: Bacterial small subunit ribosomal RNA
Source: RNAcentral